This 73-nucleotide transfer RNA is filed under the name Deltaproteobacteria bacterium GWA2_45_12. Its description in RNAcentral is "tRNA-Trp". It matches the Rfam family "tRNA". Rfam says of the family: Transfer RNA (tRNA) molecules are approximately 80 nucleotides in length. The record is from RNAcentral. Lineage: Bacteria; Deltaproteobacteria. RNAcentral also lists the same sequence under 1 other name.
AGGGGAGUAGCUCAGUUGGUAGAGCGGCGGUCUCCAAAACCGUAGGUCGCAGGUUCGAUCCCUGUCUCCCCUG